Malus domestica (apple) is the source of this 702-nucleotide non-coding RNA. Lineage: Eukaryota; Viridiplantae; Streptophyta; Magnoliopsida; Rosales; Rosaceae. The record is from RefSeq and is a predicted model, not a curated record.
UGCAUCUCCCAAAACUUCAAAGAGGGCAUUGUUCAUUGAUCAAGCAGACAAACCAGACAGCAAAAAAACUCGCACCGGGCAAACAGAGACAACCAAUUCUGCUAGAAUUGCCAGAGAAUUCCACAAACUGGUUGUCCCUAAGAUUGAGCCUGCCGAUAAAGAACCGAUAGCUGCACUCAAAACAAAGUCUCAAACCAAAAAAACCAAGGAUAGUACUGAAGAUGUUCGCCCACUGAAAAAAUGAAUGACUACAGUCUUCGUUAUGAAUUGCUACAAAGUUGCUCUACAGUUUUUUGCCUUUAAAACAUGUGCAGCUGAAAACUUAGUUGUGGAAACAACAACAUAACAUUUUUUUGGGUUUUUCGUAACUGCUUAAACAGGUGCCUAGGCUGCAGGGUAUGUAUUUUGUCACCUUAACUAUAGGGGCAAAAUAUGUGUGGACUGCAUCUUCCUUUUGUAACUAAUGGACAUAGGCAUGCUGCAUCUUUAUUCCUUUGAACAUUUGAGUUUCUUUUUUGUAACUACUUAAACAAGUGCCUAGAUUGCAGAGCAUGUAUUUUGUCACCAAAACUGUAGAGGCAAAAUAUGUGGACUGCAUCUUCCUUCUCUAACUUAUGGAAACAAGCACACUACAUCUUUGUUGCUUUGAACAUAUAUGCUUGAAAGAUAAGCUGCCAAAACAAAAACAACCUACUUUUUCAC